Molecule: ribosomal RNA, 292 nt
Filed under: uncultured Spirosoma sp.
Lineage: Bacteria; Pseudomonadati; Bacteroidota; Cytophagia; Cytophagales; Cytophagaceae
Description: partial 16S ribosomal RNA
Rfam family: Bacterial small subunit ribosomal RNA
Source: RNAcentral
GGGGGAUAGCCCGGCGAAAGCUGGGGUAAACCCGCACGGUCCAGUGUUUUCACCUGGUGAUACUGGUAAACAUUUAUGGGUAGAAGAGGGGCUUGCGUCUGAUUAGCUAGUUGGCGGGGUAACGGCCCACCAAGGCGAUGAUCAGUAGGGGUUCUGAGAGGAUUGGCCCCCACAUGGGUACUGAGAUACGGACCCAACUCCUACGGGAGGCAGCAGUAGGGAAUAUUGGGCAAUGGAGGCAACUCUGACCCAGCCAUGCCCGCGUGCAGGAUGAAGGCGCUCAGCGUUGUAA